GUGACCCCAUGAACUGGGGGUCAGGUUCCUCUGUCCAUGGGAUUCUCCAGGCCAGAAUACUGGAGUGGGUAGCCUUUCCCUUUUCCAGAGGAUCUUCCCGACCCAGGGAUUGAACCCAGGUCUCUGGCAUUGUAGGCAGAUUCUUUACCGGCUGAGCCCCCAGGUUGUUUGUCAGAGUGAAAUUGAAGUUGGAAAGUGAAUUUAGUGUAGGUGAGUGGUGUGCUCAGGAGUCGAUCGCUAAAGGUGUUACUCAAUGUCAGCGCUCCCUGGGAGUCCUUGGCUUUCUGGACCUCUUUCUUUGUGUUGAUUCUUAAGUGAGACCCCCUAUGGAAGGCUGCGGGGAGAAGGGACAGCCUUCCUGGAGCUAUUCUUGAUGAGGAAACUGAACAACAAAGAGGUUAACUGUUUUGCUUUGGGUGACCUUGAUACCCAGUGAAGAGGCUGAGAGAAGAACCUGGAGCAUCUGACCGGGAUGAAGCACCGACUUUAUGCUCCCAUGGGGUGUGCUUAACACCCUUCAGACUUAGCUUCCUUGUCUGUAAUUGGGGCCGUUCAUUUCCUUUUUUUUUUUUUUCGUUCAUUUCUAUACUCAGCCAGUUGGUGGUGAGUUUGCGUUUGCAAGAGAAUAUGAAUAAAGUAUCAAGCACGUUAUAGCCCAGUGCACAGUGGUUACCUGUUACCAUUGCUGUCUUUUUCCCUGGUGAUCCAGUGGCCAGAACUCCACACUCCCAAUGCAGGGUCCCAGGUUCAGUGCUUGGUCAGGGAACUAGAUCCCACGUGCUGCAACU
Molecule: long non-coding RNA, 788 nt
Organism: Bos taurus (domestic cattle)
Lineage: Eukaryota; Metazoa; Chordata; Mammalia; Artiodactyla; Bovidae
Source: Ensembl